Molecule: long non-coding RNA, 215 nt
Filed under: Vigna radiata
Lineage: Eukaryota; Viridiplantae; Streptophyta; Magnoliopsida; Fabales; Fabaceae
Description: long non-coding RNA (VRAD_LNC018579)
Source: RNAcentral
CUGUGUUUAUUUAAUUAGAAAUCAAAACUAAAACCUUGUUGCUUCCCAAGUGUGAACUACUUUAAAUAAAAAUGAAAAUCAAUUCUUCUCCUAGGUUCCAGCAUAAACAAAAGGAAAAACUUCUCCAGAAUUCUACAUUUCUUCACCGUGUGCUUCCAAAACUCUGAAUGUGACCAUGUGUGAUAAAACUCACCACCUGCACCUCCAGCCUUUAG